AACGAACGCUGGCGGCAUUCCUAACACAUGCAAGUCGAACGAGACCUUCUGGUCUAGUGGCGCACGGGUGCGUAACGCGUGGGAACCUGCCCUUAGGUUCGGAAUAACUCCCCGAAAGGGGUGCUAAUACCGGAUAAUGUCUUCGGACCAAAGAUUUAUCGCCUUUGGAUGGGCCCGCGUUGGAUUAGCUAGUUGGUAGGGUAAAAGCCUACCAAGGCGACGAUCCAUAGCUGGUCUGAGAGGAUGAUCAGCCACACUGGGACUGAGACACGGCCCAGAAUCCUACGGGAGGCAGAAGUGGGGAAUAUUGGACAAUGGGCGAAAGACUGAUCCAGCAAUGACGAGUGAGUGAUGAAGGCCUUAGGGUUGUAAAGCUCUUUUACCCGGGAUGAUAAUGACAGUACAGGGAGAAUAAGCUCCGGCUAACUCCGUG
RNAcentral lists this ribosomal RNA (433 nucleotides) under uncultured bacterium. Its description in RNAcentral is "partial 16S ribosomal RNA". It matches the Rfam family "Bacterial small subunit ribosomal RNA", at positions 29 to 507 of the family's 1533-position model. The record is from RNAcentral.